GACAGAGGGUGCAAGCGUUGUUCGGAAUUACUGGGCGUAAAGGGCGUGUAGGCGGUGAAGUAUGUCUGAUGUGAAAUCCCUCGGCUUAACCGAGGAAUUGCAUUGGAAACUACUUUGCUUGAGUACGAGAGGGGGUAGCGGAAUUCCCAGUGUAGAGGUGAAAUUCGUAGAUACUGGGAGGAACACCAGAGGCGAAGGCGGCUACCUGGCUCGUAACUGACGCUGAGACGCGAAAGCGUGGGGAGCAAACAGG
Molecule: ribosomal RNA, 253 nt
Filed under: uncultured bacterium
Lineage: Bacteria
Description: partial 16S ribosomal RNA
Rfam family: Bacterial small subunit ribosomal RNA
Source: RNAcentral